RNAcentral lists this ribosomal RNA (498 nucleotides) under uncultured bacterium. RNAcentral's name for it is "partial 16S ribosomal RNA". It matches the Rfam family "Bacterial small subunit ribosomal RNA", at positions 28 to 507 of the family's 1533-position model. The record is from RNAcentral.
GACGAACGCUGGCGGCGUGCCUAAUACAUGCAAGUCGAACGAGAGCGACCGGUGCUUGCACUGGUCAAUCUAGUGGCGAACGGGUGAGUAACACGUGGGUAACCUGCCCAUCAGAGGGGGAUAACAUUCGGAAACGGAUGCUAAAACCGCAUAGGUCUUCGAACCGCAUGGUUUGGAGAGGAAAAGAGGCGCAAGCUUCUGCUGAUGGAUGGACCCGCGGUGCAUUAGCUAGUUGGUGAGGUAACGGCUCACCAAGGCCGUGAUGCAUAGCCGACCUGAGAGGGUGAUCGGCCACAUUGGGACUGAGACACGGCCCAAACUCCUACGGGAGGCAGCAGUAGGGAAUCUUCCGCAAUGGACGCAAGUCUGACGGAGCAACGCCGCGUGAGUGAAGAAGGUUUUCGGAUCGUAAAACUCUGUUGUUAGAGAAGAACAAGUGCUAGAGUAACUGUUAGCGCCUUGACGGUAUCUAACCAGAAAGCCACGGCUAACUACGUG